This 19-nucleotide ribosomal RNA is filed under the name Mycoplasma sp. Its description in RNAcentral is "partial 16S ribosomal RNA". The record is from RNAcentral. Lineage: Bacteria; Bacillati; Mycoplasmatota; Mollicutes; Mycoplasmatales; Mycoplasmataceae.
GGGAUUUGUCACCUCCUUU